UGCGGGAUAGAGGAGUCGGUCGUCCUCGCAGGCCUCAUAAGCCUGAGAUCGCGGGUUCGAAUCCCGCUCCCGCUA
Molecule: transfer RNA, 75 nt
Filed under: Asanoa ishikariensis
Lineage: Bacteria; Bacillati; Actinomycetota; Actinomycetes; Micromonosporales; Micromonosporaceae
Description: tRNA_Met_CAT
Rfam family: tRNA
About the family: Transfer RNA (tRNA) molecules are approximately 80 nucleotides in length. Their secondary structure includes four short double-helical elements and three loops (D, anti-codon, and T loops). Further hydrogen bonds mediate the characteristic L-shaped molecular structure. tRNAs have two regions of fundamental functional importance: the anti-codon, which is responsible for specific mRNA codon recognition, and the 3' end, to which the tRNAs corresponding amino acid is attached (by aminoacyl-tRNA synthetases). tRNAs cope with the degeneracy of the genetic code in two manners: having more than one tRNA (with a specific anti-codon) for a particular amino acid; and 'wobble' base-pairing, i.e. permitting non-standard base-pairing at the 3rd anti-codon position.
Source: RNAcentral